Molecule: ribosomal RNA, 245 nt
Filed under: uncultured Desulfatirhabdium sp.
Lineage: Bacteria; Pseudomonadati; Thermodesulfobacteriota; Desulfobacteria; Desulfobacterales; Desulfatirhabdiaceae
Description: partial 16S ribosomal RNA
Rfam family: Bacterial small subunit ribosomal RNA
Source: RNAcentral
UACGGGGGGUGCAAGCGUUAUUCGGAUUUAUUGGGCGUAAAGAGCGCGUAGGCGGUUUAUCAAGUCAGAUGUGAAAGCCCUGGGCUUAACCUGGGAAGUGCAUUUGAAACUAGUAGACUUGAGUAUGGGAGAGGGGAGUGGAAUUCCUGGUGUAGAGGUGAAAUUCGUAGAUAUCAGGAGGAACACCGGUGGCGAAGGCGACUUCCUGGACCAAUACUGACGCUGAGGCGCGAAGGCGUGGGGAG